CCCGCCCCCGGCCGCAUUUCCCUAUAAUACGCAGUACCCGACCCUGAAGCUUCUGUCCGCCUGCACAAAGCCCUCGGGUUCGGUUCCUGGAGCGGGGUCUGCCCGUGGGUCUGCGAUCCUGUGGAGGGGGACCGAGAGAUUUCAAGCGCUAAAUAAGGGAGGUGAGUGUAAAGGACUCAGAAAGAAUGCGGUGCUGCAGAGGUCACGGUUGAGAGCCGGGCUCUGGGGGUUAGGUUCCCACCGGUCCAAUCUCUGUGUGACCUUGACCAAGCGCCGGGACCCCUCAGAGCCUUCGUUUCUCCCUUGUUAAGCACUGAUGGUACAGCACUAAAAGACACGCUAUUUUUUUUGCUGGAGGAAGCUUACCUCCUAAUUGAAUACUCAUUGGAUACUGAGACAAGAAAACAUACCAGUUCAAUAGUGUUGGGAACUCUGAAGCCUCAAUUUGGAGCGCUCCGCGGCUGCCUUUGCCACCAUGUAGAGAGCCUUUUGGUGGAUGCCGCCAACGUAGAGGAAAAGAGAACUGAAAGAUGGAAGAAGAUCAUAGAUUCCUGGUGACAUCACUGAAGCCCCUGAACCCUGAAGUACCUGAAGGUAGAAAAUCCCCUGGACAUUGCAGUUUUAUGUUUAAGUUUUCUUUUCUGCUUAUGUUACUUGGAGGUGUAUUUCUCACACUUGAAACUGAAAGUGUCCUGAGUAAACAGAAUCGCCAAUGAGAAGGAUGAGGGUGGUCAUUGCUACUGUUCAUGGUGCUCUUUCCUAUAUUGUUUUCAUUUAUUCUUAUAAUAACC
This is a long non-coding RNA of Lagenorhynchus albirostris (white-beaked dolphin), 791 nucleotides long. RefSeq lists it as uncharacterized. NCBI's taxonomy places the organism in Eukaryota, Metazoa, Chordata, Mammalia, Artiodactyla, Delphinidae. The transcript has 4 exons. The record is from RefSeq and is a predicted model, not a curated record.